Molecule: non-coding RNA, 92 nt
Organism: Rhizobium sp. Root564
Lineage: Bacteria; Pseudomonadati; Pseudomonadota; Alphaproteobacteria; Hyphomicrobiales; Rhizobiaceae
Source: Rfam
GUCCACUGAGCGGCGGACCAGAGCCACAGGCCCGACAUGGCCAUGGCUGCAGCCGGCCGAUAACGCGUCGUCAUGGCGCCCGAGCCGGCUGC